Non-coding RNA from Misgurnus anguillicaudatus (oriental weatherfish), 559 nucleotides. NCBI's taxonomy places the organism in Eukaryota, Metazoa, Chordata, Actinopteri, Cypriniformes, Cobitidae. The record is from RefSeq and is a predicted model, not a curated record.
AAAAGCUCCAAAUCUGAAGAUGAUUUUCUGCCUAAAUCUUCUUGAGUAUCUUUGGUAUGAAGACUUUGUUUCUCCUCUGAGCUGUUUGUUGCAUCAUCUGUUGGACUAUAAAACAGAACAUCCAAUAUCAGACAAUGUCAGUAAAGCAACUCUAGACCCAACACUCCUGAAAUGAUACGAGCUUACAAGACACCUGUUAAGAUCUGGAGAAGAAACCUCAACAAAUAAGAGUAUACAGUCCUCUCUAGGGCUCUUGGGACUCGGGGUAAUCUCAACUGAUCCAUGGUUACCAGAACAAACCAAACCCUCUGAACCAGUUCAGUUCACUUCUGCAUAUACAGAUAAGAGUGAUUUAUUACAGUCACAUUCAUAACAGCGAUAAAUAUCACAAACUGUCUUCUGAAACUGUAAACACAUUUAAGUUAUUACUUUAUAUUUCUUUUAUUGUUAUUGCAUUUGUUGUUGAUGGUGGGCUCUUAGAAAAUCCAGUAUGUAACAGCUGUAUGAUGCAACCAUGCUGAACUCCUUUUCAAUGCUCUGGAAACCAUCAAAGAAUACA